Molecule: ribosomal RNA, 1552 nt
Filed under: Synechococcus sp. MW101C3
Lineage: Bacteria; Bacillati; Cyanobacteriota; Cyanophyceae; Synechococcales; Synechococcaceae
Description: bacterial SSU rRNA
Rfam family: Bacterial small subunit ribosomal RNA
Source: RNAcentral
AUGAACGCUGGCGGCGUGCUUAACACAUGCAAGUCGAACGAGCCUUCGGGCUAGUGGCGGACGGGUGAGUAACGCGUGGGAAUCUGCCCUCAGGAGGGGGAUAACGGCCGGAAACGGCCGCUAAUACCCCAUAUGCCGAGAGGUGAAAUGAAUUUCGCCUGAGGAUGAGCCCGCGUCUGAUUAGCUAGUUGGUGUGGUAAUGGCGCACCAAGGCUUCGAUCAGUAGCUGGUCUGAGAGGAUGAUCAGCCACACUGGGACUGAGACACGGCCCAGACUCCUACGGGAGGCAGCAGUGGGGAAUUUUCCGCAAUGGGCGCAAGCCUGACGGAGCAACGCCGCGUGAGGGACGAAGGCCUCUGGGCUGUAAACCUCUUUUCUCAAGGAAGAAGACAUGACGGUACUUGAGGAAUAAGCCACGGCUAAUUCCGUGCCAGCAGCCGCGGUAAUACGGGAGUGGCAAGCGUUAUCCGGAAUUAUUGGGCGUAAAGCGUCCGCAGGCGGCCCAGCAAGUCUGUUGUUAAAAAGUGGAGCUUAACUCCAUCCAGGCAAUGGAAACUGCUGGGCUAGAGUGUGGUAGGGGCAGAGGGAAUUCCCGGUGUAGCGGUGAAAUGCGUAGAUAUCGGGAAGAACACCAGUGGGCGAAGGCGCUCUGCUGGGCCAUAACUGACGCUCAUGGACGAAAGCCAGGGGAGCGAAAGGGAUUAGAUACCCCUGUAGUCCUGGCCGUAAACGAUGAACACUAGGUGUCGGGGGAAUCGACCCCCUCGGUGUCGUAGCCAACGCGUUAAGUGUUCCGCCUGGGGAGUACGCACGCAAGUGUGAAACUCAAAGGAAUUGACGGGGGCCCGCACAAGCGGUGGAGUAUGUGGUUUAAUUCGAUGCAACGCGAAGAACCUUACCAGGGUUUGACAUCCUGCGAAUCCCUUGGAAACUUGGGAGUGCCUUCGGGAGCGCAGUGACAGGUGGUGCAUGGCUGUCGUCAGCUCGUGUCGUGAGAUGUUGGGUUAAGUCCCGCAACGAGCGCAACCCACGUCUUUAGUUGCCAGCAUUCAGUUGGGCACUCUAGAGAGACCGCCGGUGAUAAACCGGAGGAAGGUGUGGAUGACGUCAAGUCAUCAUGCCCCUUACAUCCUGGGCUACACACGUACUACAAUGCUACGGACAAAGGGCAGCAAACUCGCGAGAGCUAGCAAAUCCCAUAAACCGUGGCUCAGUUCAGAUCGUAGGCUGCAACUCGCCUACGUGAAGGAGGAAUCGCUAGUAAUCGCAGGUCAGCAUACUGCGGUGAAUACGUUCCCGGGCCUUGUACACACCGCCCGUCACACCAUGGAAGUUGGCCAUGCCCGAAGUCGUUACUCCAACCCGUAAGGGAGGAGGACGCCGAAGGUGGGGCUGAUGACUGGGGUGAAGUCGUAACAAGGUAGCCGUACCGGAAGGUGCGGCUGGAUCACCUCCUAACAGGGAGACAAAACUGAUUGUGAUGUCUGAGCGCUAUGAGGAUGAAAAUCUAAGUAGCAACUUUGUCUUAGGCCACAAUCCUGUCAUCUCGAA